UCUAAUAUGGCAGAUUAGUGCACUGGUCUUAAGCACCAAUUAUAAAAUUUAUUUUUUUUAGAA
Molecule: transfer RNA, 63 nt
Filed under: Trigonopterus sp. 6 AH-2016
Lineage: Eukaryota; Metazoa; Arthropoda; Insecta; Coleoptera; Curculionidae
Description: tRNA-Leu
Source: RNAcentral